This 253-nucleotide ribosomal RNA is filed under the name uncultured bacterium. RNAcentral describes it as "partial 16S ribosomal RNA". It matches the Rfam family "Bacterial small subunit ribosomal RNA", at positions 524 to 776 of the family's 1533-position model. The record is from RNAcentral.
UACGUAGGGGGCAAGCGUUGUCCGGAUUUAUUGGGCGUAAAGAGCGUGUAGGCGGCCUGAAAGGUCAGCUGUGAAAACUCGAGGCUCAACCUCGAGACGUCGGUUGAAACCAUCUGGCUAGAGUCCGGAAGAGGAGAAUGGAAUUCCUGGUGUAGCGGUGAAAUGCGCAGAUAUCAGGAAGAACACCCGUGGCGAAGGCGGUUCUCUAGUACGGUACUGACGCUGAGACGCGAAAGCGUGGGGAGCGAACAGG